UACGGGAGGCAGCAGUGGGGAAUAUUGCACAAUGGGCGCAAGCCUGAUGCAGCCAUGCCGCGUGUAUGAAGAAGGCCUUCGGGUUGUAAAGUACUUUCAGUCGUGAGGAAGGUGUUAAGGUUAAUAACCUUAGCAAUUGACGUUAGCGACAGAAGAAGCACCGGCUAACUCCGUGCCAGCAGCCGCGGUAAUACGGAGGGUGCGAGCGUUAAUCGGAAUUACUGGGCGUAAAGGGCACGCAGGCGGUUAAUUAAGUUGGAUGUGAAAUCCCCGGGCUUAACCUGGGAAUGGCAUUCAAGACUGGUUAGCUAGAGUCUUGUAGAGGGGGUAGAAUUCCGAUGUGUAGCGGUGAAAUGCGUAGAGAUGUGGAGGAAUACCGGUGGCGAAGGCGGCCCCUGGACAAAGGCUGACGCUCAUGUGCGAAAGCGUGGGGAGCAAACAGGGAUUAGAUACC
Molecule: ribosomal RNA, 454 nt
Filed under: uncultured bacterium
Lineage: Bacteria
Description: bacterial SSU rRNA
Rfam family: Bacterial small subunit ribosomal RNA
Source: RNAcentral